UUCCGGUUGAUCCUGCCGGACCUGACUGCUAUCGGAUUGGUACUAAGCCAUGCGAGUCAUUGUAGCAAUACAAGGCGGACGGCUCUGUAACACGUAGUCAACCUAACUCGUGGACGUGGAUAACCUCGGGAAACUGAGAAUAAACCACGAUAGACCAUAGUGCCUGGAAUGGCUUAUGGUCCAAACAGUUUACUGCCAUGGGAUGGGACUGCGGCCUAUCAGCUUGUUGGUGAGGUAAUGGCCCACCAAGGCGAUUACAGGUACGGGCUCUGAGAGGAGAAGCCCGGAGAUGGGUACUGAGACACGGACCCAGGCCCUAUGGGGCGCAGCAGGCGAGAAACCUUAGCAAUGUGCGAAAGCACGACUGGGUCAGUCCGAGUGAUUCCUGAUAAAGGAGUCUUUUGCUUGUCCUAAAAGCACAGGUGAAUAAGGGGUGGGCAAGUCUGGUGUCAGCCGCCGCGGUAAUACCAGCACCUCGAGUGGUCAGGACGUUUAUUGGGCCUAAAGCAUCCGUAGCCGGCUUUGCAAGUCUUCGGUUAAAUCCACCUGCUCAACAGAUGGGCUGCUGGAGAUACUACAAAGCUAGGGAGUGGGAGAGGCAGACGGUAUUCAGUGGGUAGGGGUAAAAUCCUCUGAUCCAUUGAGGACCACCAGUGGCGAAGGCGGUCUGCCAGAACACGUUCGACGGUGAGGGAUGAAAGCUGGGGGAGCAAACCGGAUUAGAUACCCGGGUAGUCCCAGCUGUAAACGAUGCAAACUCGGUGAUGCAUUGGCUUAUGGCCAAUGCAGUGCCGCAGGGAAGCCGUUAAGUUUGCCGCCUGGGAAGUACGGACGCAAGUCUGAAACUUAAAGGAAUUGGCGGGGGAGCACCACAAGGGGUGAAGCCUGCGGUUCAAUUGGAUUCAACGCCGGAA
RNAcentral lists this ribosomal RNA (914 nucleotides) under uncultured ammonia-oxidizing archaeon. RNAcentral describes it as "bacterial SSU rRNA". It matches the Rfam family "Archaeal small subunit ribosomal RNA", at positions 1 to 923 of the family's 1478-position model. The record is from RNAcentral.